GCUCCUGGUCUCAAAGGCAGCUGGUCUCUCUAGAGGUUGAAAGGAGCUGGACAGAAGUUUGUAUUACAGGCUCGUAGCACCGGAGGUUUCUGAUGGAGCAGACAACUUGAGGAAGGCCGGCCUUGCUGAACACAGUGGACUGACCGGGUCUGGACCCCUCCCCCACAGGUGACUGUGCACUGCAGCAGAGAGAAGAGGAAGGAGUCAGAAACACUCUACUGAGAUCCUCCCAGAUAGAUAACGUACGUACAUAUUGAUACCUCUACCCGGACUCUGUGAUUAAUGGUGAGGUGGGGAGCACCCGAGUCCUCUGAACUGAACAGCUGUGCAGCAACAUCUGCUGGGUGGAAUGCUGGAAGGACCGCGUCACACACCAAUCCUAGCUAAAGUUUCACCCAAGUCUUCUGAAAAGAAGGGUGCCUCUAGCAUCUGAUAAGUUUAAAAGCGAAGUAUCCUUGGCUGAAUUGCCUGACAUUCUGAGCUUUAGGGACCAUACUACCCCUGAAUAGGAGUACUUAGCACCGUGCAUAGUAAUAGCUUGACAAAUAUUAGCUAUUACAUUGUUCAGAAACAUGAUGUAAGAACCAAAUGAGUAAAGGCUGUGAGCAGCAUUUCUAAAACAGAAAGACUCGAGUGGUAGUUUCCGUAGCAACAGCAAUGACCAACAUUAGCAGUGUAUAACUGGCCUGGUGGUAAGUGUUUUACAUACAUUUUCUGAUGAACAAAAACAAAUCAACUCUCCCAGAUAAUGAUUUUCUAGAUGUGAAAACUGAGGUUUACAGAUUGUUACCUGCCCAGGGCCAAAGAACAAAACCCAUUCUGCCUUCAGAACUUGAGCCCUUAGUUGUUUUUACUUAGACAACCAUUAACAGACUAAGAGCAACUGUUUGCAGAACGCCUCAUUUUUCGACAUCUCACUUGAAU
This 924-nucleotide long non-coding RNA is filed under the name Homo sapiens (human). RNAcentral describes it as "HSALNT0233767". Lineage: Eukaryota; Metazoa; Chordata; Mammalia; Primates; Hominidae. The record is from RNAcentral.